GGCACUAACUUGCUGGUAAUCUCAACUAACUCUGGCCCUGCAAGAGCCUUCUCUCCUACCUCUUCCCAGCAAACAGGUGUUCUGCACUUCCUCCCAUACAAAGCUUCAUAAGGAGCCAUCCCUAUGCUAGCAUGAUGGCUGUUGUUGUAGGCAAACUCCACCAGAGGUAGAUGCUGCCUCCAAGAACCGCCAAAGUCUAACACACACAUUCUCAGCAUAUCUUCUAUGGUUUGGAUGGUCCUCUCUGACUGACCGUCUGUCUGUGGAUGGAAAGCAGUGCUGAAAUCCAAUCUUGUGCCCAUAGCAGCUUGCAGACUCCGCCAAAACCUGGAGGUGAACUGAGGUCCUCUAUAUGAUACUAUCGACACUGGAACUCCAUGCAACUUGACUAUCUCUUCUACAUAGACCGGCGCCAACUUGUCCACAGAAUAGUUGCUCCUGACUGGAAUGAAGUGAGCAGAUUUCGUUAGUCUGUCCACAAUCACCCAUAUGGAGUCUAGCCUGUUGGACGUCACCGGUAACCCCACUACAAAAUCCAUAGCGAUGUUCUCCCAUUUCCAUUCUGGAAUCGGCAGUGGGUUAAGCAUUCCAGCCGGCUUCUGGUGUUCUAGCUUCACCCUUUGACAGGUCUCGUAGGCUGACACAAACUGUGCCACUUCCCUCUUCAUCACUGGCCACCAAUACACCAUUCUCAGAUCUUGAUACAUCUUGGUGGCUCCAGAGUGAACGCUAUACCUCGCAUUAUGAGCUUCCCUCAUAAUGUCUUCCUUCAAACUGCUAUCAUCUGGUACACAUACUCUCUUACCGUGCCAAAGAAUCCCCUCACUGUCAAAUCUGAACUCUGCACUGUUGCCUGACUGAACAGUCCUGGCAAUCUUCACUAACUCAGGGUCUUCGUGCUGUUUCAGAGCCACUUGCUCUAGAAACACUGGUGUAACUCUCAUCUGUGCAAUCAAAGCACCUGUACCAGAUAACUGCAACUGCAGCCCUUCAUCCAUGAGUCUGUAAAAGUCCUUCACCACCGGUCUUCUCUCUACUGAAAUGUGGGAUAAACUGCCAAGUGACUUCCGGCUUAAGGCAUCAGCUACAACAUUAGCCUUACCCGGAUGAUACUGGAUCUUGCAAUCGUAAUCACUGAGCAAUUCUACCCACCGUCUCUACCUCAAGUUUAACUCUCUCUGACUCAAGAUGUGCUGCAGGCUCUUAUGAUCCGUAUAGAUCUCACACUUUACCCCAUAGAGGUAAUGCCUCCACAUCUUAAGUGCAAAGAUAACAGCUGCCAUCUUAAGAUCAUGUGUCAGGUAAUUUAGCUCGUGCUUCUUCAGCUGUCUAGAAGCAUAAGCUAUCACUCUGUCAUUCUGCAUUAACACACAACCUAAUCCCACUCGGGAUGCAUCACAGAACACUGUGAAAUCUUCAUCACUGAUCGGCAGAGCUAACACCGGUGCUGAAGUCAACCGUCUCUUCAACUCUUCAAAACUCUCAUCACAAUCCUCUGACCAUACGAACUUCUGAUUCUUCCUGGUCAGUCUGGUCAUAGGAGCAGCUAUCUUCGAAAAGUCCUGAACGAACCUCCGAUAGUAGCCUGCCAAACCCAGAAAACUCUUAAUCUCUGUCACUGUCGUGGGUGUAGGCCAAUUGGCUACUGCCUCUACCUUCUUGGGAUCUACUGCUAUUCCUUUCUCUGAUACUACAUGUCCCAAAAAGGAAAUGCUCCAGAGCCAGAACUCACACUUGGAGAACUUGGCAUACAAGCCAUGCUCUCUCAAGGUUUGCAACACUAUCCUCAGAUGCUGGGCAUGCUCCUCUGCAUUCCUGGAGUACACCAAGAUAUCAUCUAUAAAGACGAUCACAAAACGAUCCAAGUACUCCCUGAAAACCCUGUUCAUGAGAUCCAUGAAUGCUGCAGGGGCAGUAGUCAACCCGAACGACAUCACUAGGAACUCAUAAUGCCCAUAUCUGGUCCUGAAAGCAGUCGUGGAUACAUCUCCUUCCUUGAUCUUCAACUGGUGGUAUCCAGAUCUCAGAUCUAUCUUAGAAAAACAACCUGCUCCUGCCAGCUGGUCGAAUAGAUCAUCGAUCCUGGGUAAAGGAUACUUGUUCUUGAUAGUGACUUUGUUCAACUGUCUGUAGUCGACACAAAGUCUAAGAGGUCCAUCCUUCUUUCUGACAAAUAAGACUGGAGCACCCCAGGGUGAGGUACUCGGGCGGAUGAAACCCUUAGCUACCAAAUCCUGUAACUGCUCUUUCAACUCUUUCAGCUCUGCUGGUGCCAUCCUGUAGGGAGGAAUAGAGAUCGGUCUGGUACCGGGCAUCAACUCUAUCUUGAACUCUAUGUCCCUAUCAGGUGGUAGUCCUGGAAGCUCUUCAGGAAACACAUCUGGGAAUUCUCUAACAACUGGUACUGAGGACGGUUCCCUAACCGGACUAUCUAGCUCUCUCACAUAAGCUAGGAACCCCUGACACCCUUUCCUCAACAUCCUACGAGCCUGAAGGGCUGAGAUCAAACCCCUAGGUGUCCCUCUCCUGUCUCCUCUGAAGACACACUCUGAACCAUCCUGGUCUCUGAGACGCACUACCUUGUCCCUACAGUGCAAGGUAGCACUAUAGGUAGAUAACCAAUCCAUCCCUAGAAUGACAUCAAAAUCUGUCAACUCUAGAACCACAAGGUCAGCUGGAAGGCAUCUAUCCUCUAUAAACACUGGACUGAGCUGACAGACUGACUCUGCCAAUGAUGGGUCACAUCUAGGUCCACUGACCCAGAGAGGACACGCUAACUCGGAUACGAUCAACCCCAAUCUCUCUGCGGCUCUAGAAGAAAUGAAAGAGUGAGAAGCACCGGGGUCCAUCAAAGUAUACAUCUCUGAAAGCCCAAUGAUGAGAUUACCUAACACCACUGUGUUCGAAGUGUUUGCCUCCUGUUGUGUCAUGGUGAAAAUCCGUGCUGGAGCUGACGGACCUGCACCUCGGGAACCCAUCCCUGAAGAAGAGGCUGCCCCUCUCCCUCUACCUCUGCCACUGCUUGGUGGUCGGGCUGAAGCUGCUGACUGUACGACACUACCUGAGGUCAUCUGCUGGGAUGGUGUAACCAAAGUCGCCUGAGGACAUUCUCGUGCAUAAUGUCCCUCCUGCCCACAUCUAUAGCAGGCUGUAGAUCCCAACAAACAAGCUCUUCUGUGCGGUCUCCCACACGUAUUGCAAAUUGGAAGAUCUGUGCCAGAGCUGGAGCCGCUACUCAUUCCCAGACCCGUCUUAAUCCUGUUCCAGAACUUGCCUCUCUUUCCUCUGAGUUUAUCCCAUCUCUUCUUGCUCGCACUUGCCGUACUCUGCGAGGAGGAACCUGGUUUAGCACCAGAAGACUGUGCCUUGAUUGCUUGACUACUCCCUGACUUAUGGCACUGGCCUCCAUUUUUCUAGCAGCAUCCACAAUGGAGUGGAAACUCUCCUUCUCCGCGUGGAGAAUCAAAGAGAAAUACAUGGGAUGGAGCCUCGUGGCAUAUCUAUUUGCCUUCUUCUGAUCCGUAUCAUAUGCCUGACCCACAUAUGGUAACAAUUCCAAGAACUUAUCUGUAUACUCAUCAACACUCAUCUCCUCCGUCUGUCUCAACUGUUCAAACUCCACAACCUUUAGCUCCCUGGAACUGUCAAGGAAAGCCCACCCAGCAAAUUCAUUGGCGAACUCUUCCCUUGUCAUACUGUCGAUUCUGGGGUCCACAUAGUUUUUGAACCAUUCUCUGGCUUUCUUGCAUUUUAAUGUGAACCCUGCCAUCUCAAUGGCCCUGCUCUCAUCUGCUCCCAACUCACUUGUGAUCAUUCUGACUGCACUGAGACACUCAAAGGGAUCAUCUCCCGUGUUGAAUUUAGGAGCAUCCAACUUUAAGUACUCCGUCAUCUUCACCUUAUUUCCCCCUGAAGAACUGGGUUGUGCUUCAACAACAGGGGCUACUGGUUCAGAUGGUGGUGGACGUACUGUUUCUCUGGAUUCAGGCGAUGCUGAACUUGAAUAAAAAGGUGGGGGUGGAUACAUGUGAUAUGGUGGAUAAAAGGAAGGGUAGGGCAUAUAUGGCAUGUAGGGUGGAUAUGGGGCAAAGCUGGAGUAAUCCGACGUGCCUCCCAUCGGAUCCCUUGGGCCCUGUGGAAACAGUGGAUAGCCAAACCCCGAGGCCUGCGCGCCUCCCUGGGACUCCCCCAUACCUUCUUCUGACCUUCCUAUACCCAUACUUACAUCUCUACUCUGAUCUUCCUCCAUAGCAACUCUCUUUUCUUCUGAUCUUCCCCCUCUGCCUAUUCCUCUUCUGCUCUCCUCAGAAGACCUUCUAGGGUCUCUUGACGUUCCCUCCCUGCUUGACCUGUGAGUCCUUGCCCUUGGCAAUGCAGGAGGACGAGCAGCUGUACCCUCACUUUCAGGUGGGACUCCAUUCAAUCUCGCGGAUCGACGAGUUCCUCGCAUCUUAACUCUCUCUGGAAAACAACACAUCACAGAGCACAUAAGCAACACAUAUAGGAAAACAACACAUGCAUCAUGGCAUUGCACAUCAUCAGAGAGACAGGACGAACAUCCUAUCCUAGUGGACAUGAUUUCCUAUUGUGCUUGACCCACUAAACCUCUAUGAGCCCAACUCUAUCUCUAUAGGUCCGACCAUAUGAACCUAGGGCUCUGAUACCAAUCUGUAACAGCCCGGAAACCGAACUGCUACUGGCACUAGGAUCCAGAUCGACUUAAGGUCGCCAGGACCCUUAGUAAGCCUGCUAUACUGUCUGUGUACCUGUGAAAUCCCAUACAUGAUCAUACAUUUUCUGAAAAACCAUUAAAACUUUUCUUUCCUCCAGGGCUUAACGUGUGCAUGCACUCUUUCUGGUCUAUCAACUCAUAAUGUUAAGCCUGGUUUUCUCAUAUUCAUUAACAAUAAAAGAAACAUACAUAAACUGAUCAUGUGUCUACAACAAGGGAUUACAACUCUUAUAAGUCAAGCACAAAGCUACACACUAUACAUUAUCUCUUUACAUGAACAUGUCCACACUAGCUAUUACAUAACUCUGCUUCUUGCACACCCUGCUGGACUCCCUCUGGACUCUGAACCUGCAAACCUGGGGGAUAGGGGAGAGGGAUGAGCUAUACAAGCCCAAUGAGCAGAACUAUAAACCAUAAGUUGAAAACAUGAUCUCAUGGAAUGCAUAACAGCACAUCAUCUAAGGAUAGACAUGACCACCAAAAAUCCCACUGAAAGGAUGCCUGGCCUAGCCAGGUCUUACAACCUCAAUCUGCCUGGCCCGGCCAGGUCUUACAACUCUGCCUGCCUGGCCCAGCCAGGUCUUACUAUCUCUGAUGCCUGCUCUAGUAAGGUCUUACCUACAGAUGGCUGCCUGGCCUGGCCAGGUCUUAUAACAGAGCUUGGGCUAUUGGAGUCGCCUUGGUCUAUCCACAGCCUCAUACACAUCGUAUUAUGCAAUGCGUCAUCUUUGUGAAACUAAUGCAAGCAUCCUACUAUAAUCUUAUGAUGCAUGACAUAUGCUCAAAGCAGUUUAGUUCUGAAAAGAGAAGUUCCACUCACCUCUGGCUGACUCUGUACUAACUCUGCAGGUUCUGAAACAGUGUUCACUGCUGCUCUCUGGGGUUCCUCUGGUCCGUUCCUACACAGGUGGACUCAAAUGAGGGACCAAACUAACUCAAGAACAUCUCUAAGAAACUCCCCAAAAACCCUCUACAAGAUCCCCAAACAAUCACAUAAAACAUGCAAAAGAAAGCUGGACAGGGCACGUUCGGCGGCCGAAACCCCUCUCCAGAGACGAAACUCAUGCAUGUUCGGCGGCCGAAACCCCUCUCCAGAGACGAAACUCAUGCAUGUUCGGCGGCACCUUCGGCGGCCGAAGGUCUCGUCCAAAGACGAAACUCACACACAUUUGGAGGCCGAACUUCCCUCUUUCGGCGGCCGAAAGUCCCUUUCUAAACCGAACGCCUCGCUUUCGGGGGCAAGCUUUGGCAGCCGAAACUGCCUCCACAAGGGGUUCGGCGGCCGAACCUUCCUUCGGCGGCCGAACCUGGUUUUGCCCGCUGGGCAGAACCCUGCUCUGUUUCAUGCAAUCCUUUCCUCCAAACUUACCCAACAUGCAUAUCAACUACUCCCAACUAGCACAUACCAUAAACUAGGCAUAAAAAGGCCUAAAACUCACUUAUAAUCUCAAGAAACAUAUCAAACAACACUUAAACAUGUUGAAACACAAAAUCAUGCAAAACCUCAACCAAAACCCUAUGCAUGCAUACUAUCCAUACAACUCCCAUAAAACCUUCAAAAAUCAGUAAAAGAGGUUCUGGAUCUUGACUUACCUCUUCCAAACAAGAGAUCAAGUGAUCCUAACGUGGAGAUAUGGAGAAAUCUCCUCACAACUCUCCAAACGUCAAAACUUGGUUCUUUUGCUCAAAACUCUUAAAACCUUCAAAAACACAUGAAAACUCUUCAAAACCUUACAAGAUUUGAGCAAGAUCAUGAAAGUCAACUAGGGAGGCUGUUGGACUCACCUCUGGCUGAAGAUGGAAGCAAAAUAUCAUCCUUCCACCGACUUUGCACCCUUUUAUAGGUGGCUGGCCAGACCACCUUCGGCGGCGAAACGUGAAUCCGAAACCAUGCAAUGGUCGGUGGCCGAAAGUCACCUUCGGCGGCCGAACUUGCCAUUUUCUCCCUUGGCUCUUUUCUUUCAAAAACUCAUUUUCCUUUAUACUUAAAACCGCAAAACAAGUCAAAAUACCUAAGAAAACAUAUGUAUUACCCUUCUCGAGGGUUCCGACACCCGAAAUUCCACCGAACUACAGGAAUUCCGAGGCCGGACUCGAGCCGGGUAUUACAUUCUCCCCCCCCUUAAGACCAUUCAUCCCCGAAUGUUCCUCAAACAACAACACACAUAAACACAUAAACACAUAGCAAUGGGGAAAACCUAACCUUAAAACAGAUAUGGAUAUUGCUGGAGCAUGGACUCCCGUGUCUCCCAGGUGCACUCUUCUAGGAUGUGGUGGUUCCACAGGACUUUCACCAUUGGUAUCUCCUUGUUUCUCAGCUUUCGAAUCUGGGUGUCCAUGAUCCGCACUGGCUGUUCUACAUAGGUGAGAUCGCUUAAGAUUUCCACCUCAGGCUCACUAAGAACCUUCUCUGGAUCUGACACAAAUUUCCUCAACAUAGACACAUGGAAUACUGGGUGAAUUCUUUCCAUCGAUGCAGGUAAAUCCAGCUUAUACGACACAGGCCCGAUCUUCUGCAAGAUCUCAAAGGGACCUAUGUACUGUGGAGCUAAUUUACCCUUCUUUCCAAAGCGAACCACUUCCUUCAUUGGAGACACCUUUAGCAAUAUCAUAUCCCCCUCCUGGAACUCUAUCUGCUUCCUACGGAUGUCUGUAUAGCUUUUCUGCCUGCUUACAGCUGUUCUGAUCCUCUCUCUGAUCACAGGCACUAACUUGCUGGUAAUCUCAACUAACUCUGGCCCUGCAAGAGCCUUCUUUCCUACCUCUUCCCAGCAAACAGGUGUUCUGCACUUCCUCCCAUACAGAGCUUCAUAAGGAGCCAUCCCUAUGCUAGCAUGAUGGCUGUUGUUGUAGGCAAACUCCACCAGAGGUAGAUGCUGCCUCCAAGAACCGCCAAAGUCUAACACACACAUUCUCAGCAUAUCUUCUAUGGUCUGGAUGGUCCUCUCUGACUGACCGUCUGUCUGUGGAUGGAAAGCAGUGCUGAA
Molecule: long non-coding RNA, 7719 nt
Filed under: Manihot esculenta (cassava)
Lineage: Eukaryota; Viridiplantae; Streptophyta; Magnoliopsida; Malpighiales; Euphorbiaceae
Description: long non-coding RNA (MESC_LNC010767)
Source: RNAcentral